AGGGGAUACUGAUAUUUGGUCAGAACAGCCCACACAUAAUCAUUGAUUUCAAAAGUUAACUUCUUCAAAUGCUUGUCAGCGAUUUUUUUAUACUUGGCAUUACUGACCUCAAUUUGCUCUUUGAUGGAGUGAUGGGUAGCUUGAAUUUCUUCAAUCUAAUUUUUAGCUUUCAUACUGGAUCAUCUCCUAGAAGUGAUUGGAGUCAAGUCUAGAACACUACUUGGAUUUGACC
RNAcentral lists this long non-coding RNA (232 nucleotides) under Elaeis guineensis (African oil palm). RNAcentral's name for it is "long non-coding RNA (EGUI_LNC042535)". Lineage: Eukaryota; Viridiplantae; Streptophyta; Magnoliopsida; Arecales; Arecaceae. The record is from RNAcentral.